This 792-nucleotide ribosomal RNA is filed under the name uncultured archaeon. RNAcentral describes it as "bacterial SSU rRNA". It matches the Rfam family "Archaeal small subunit ribosomal RNA", at positions 85 to 879 of the family's 1478-position model. The record is from RNAcentral.
ACGGCUCAGUAACACGUAGUCAACAUGCCCAGAGGACGUGGAUAACCUCGGGAAACUGAGGAUAAACCGCGAUAGGUCAUAUUUACUGGAAUGUUUUAUGGCUCAAAUCUACAUGGCCUCUGGAUUGGACUGCGGCCGAUCAGGCUGUUGGUGAGGUAAUGGCCCACCAAACCUGGUUACCGGUACGGGCUCUGAGAGGAGGAGCCCGGAGAUGGGCACUGAGACAAGGGCCCAGGUCCUAUGGGGCGCAGCAGGCGCGAAACCUCUGCAAUAGGCGAAAGCCUGACAGGGUUACUCUGAGUGAUUCCCGUUAAGGGAAUCUUUUGGCAUCUCUAAAAACGAUGCAGAAUAAGGGGUGGGCAAGUCUGGUGUCAGCCGCCGCGGUAAUACCAGCACCCCGAGUGGUCGGGACGAUUAUUGGGCCUAAAGCAUCCGUAGCCGGUCUUGCAAGUCUUCCGUUAAAUCCAGCUGCUUAACGGAUGGGCUGCGGAAGAUACUACAAGACUAGGAGGCGGAAGAGGCAAGCGGUACUCAGUGGGUAGGGGUAAAAUCCUCUGAUCCAUUGAAGACCACCAGUGGCGAAGGCGGCUUGCCAGAACGCGCUCGACGGUGAGGGAUGAAAGCUGGGGGAGCAAACCGGAUUAGAUACCCGGGUAGUCCCAGCUGUAAACGAUGCAGACUCGGUGAUGGGCCGGCUUCAUGCCGGCUCAGUGCCGCAGGGAAGCCGUUAAGUCUGCCGCCUGGGGAGUACGGUCGCAAGACUGAAACUUAAAGGAAUUGGCGGGGGAGCAC